Molecule: ribosomal RNA, 253 nt
Filed under: uncultured bacterium
Lineage: Bacteria
Description: partial 16S ribosomal RNA
Rfam family: Bacterial small subunit ribosomal RNA
Source: RNAcentral
UACGUAGGGCGCAAGCGUUGUCCGGAAUUAUUGGGCGUAAAGAGCUCGUAGGCGGCCUGUUGCGUCCGCUGUGAAAUCCCGGGGCUCAACCCCGGGCGUGCAGUGGAUACGGGCUGGCUGGAGGCAGGCAGGGGAGAACGGAAUUCCUGGUGUAGCGGUGAAAUGCGCAGAUAUCAGGAGGAACACCGGUGGCGAAGGCGGCUAUCUGGGCUGAAACUGACGCUGAGGCGCGAAGGCUAGGGGAGCAAACAGG